UAGAGCAUCUGACUUUUAAUCAGAGGGUCGAAGGUUCGAGUCCUUCAUGGCUCACCA
Molecule: transfer RNA, 57 nt
Filed under: Bacillus anthracis (anthrax bacterium)
Lineage: Bacteria; Bacillati; Bacillota; Bacilli; Caryophanales; Bacillaceae
Description: tRNA-Lys
Rfam family: tRNA
About the family: Transfer RNA (tRNA) molecules are approximately 80 nucleotides in length.
Source: RNAcentral